UACGUAGGGGGCAAGCGUUGUCCGGAUUUAUUGGGCGUAAAGAGCGCGUAGGCGGUCCGGUAAGUCGGCUGUGAAAGUCAAGGGCUCAACCCUUGAAAGCCGGCCGAUACUGUCGGACUAGAGUCCGGAAGAGGCGAGUGGAAUUCCGGGUGUAGCGGUGGAAUGCGUAGAGAUCCGGAAGAACACCGGUGGCGAAGGCGGUCUGCUGGGGUCGAACUGACGCUGAGGCGCGACAGCGUGGGGAGCAAACAGG
RNAcentral lists this ribosomal RNA (253 nucleotides) under uncultured bacterium. RNAcentral's name for it is "partial 16S ribosomal RNA". It matches the Rfam family "Bacterial small subunit ribosomal RNA", at positions 524 to 776 of the family's 1533-position model. The record is from RNAcentral.